AAUAAUGAGGCUAUAUACAGGGGGUACCGGUACAGAGUCAAUGUGGAGGCUAUAUACAGGGGGUACCGGUACAGAGUCAAUGUGGAGGCUAUAUACAGGGGGUACCAGUACAGAGUCAAUGUGGAGGCUAUAUACAGGGGGUACCGGUACAGAGUCAAUGUGGAGGCUAUAUACAGGGGGUACCAGUACAGAGUCAGUGUGGAGGCUAUAUACAGGGGGCACCGGUACAGAGUCAAUGUGGAGGCUAAAUACAGGGGGCACUGGUACAGAGUCAAUGUGGAGGCUAUAUACAGGGGGUACCAGUACAGAGUCAAUGUGGAGGCUAUAUACAGGGG
Molecule: long non-coding RNA, 335 nt
Organism: Oncorhynchus tshawytscha (Chinook salmon)
Lineage: Eukaryota; Metazoa; Chordata; Actinopteri; Salmoniformes; Salmonidae
Source: Ensembl